GCCCGCCUAGCUCAAUCGGAUAGAGCGUCAGACUUUUACGGUCUCUUGGGCGGUGAAUCUGAAGGCUGCGAGUUCGACCCUCGCGGUGGGCU
Molecule: non-coding RNA, 92 nt
Organism: Stygiomarasmius scandens
Lineage: Eukaryota; Fungi; Basidiomycota; Agaricomycetes; Agaricales; Campanellaceae
Source: the annotation of a GenBank genome assembly